RNAcentral lists this ribosomal RNA (482 nucleotides) under uncultured bacterium. Its description in RNAcentral is "partial 16S ribosomal RNA". It matches the Rfam family "Bacterial small subunit ribosomal RNA", at positions 30 to 507 of the family's 1533-position model. The record is from RNAcentral.
AUUGAACGCUGGCGGCAUGCUUUACACAUGCAAGUCGAACGGUAACAGCACUUCGGUGGCUGACGAGUGGCGAACGGGUGAGUAAUACAUCGGAACGUGCCUAGUAGUUGGGGAUAACUACUCGAAAGAGUAGCUAAUACCUCAUGAGAUCUAAGGUUUAAAGCAGGGGACCUUCGGGCCUUGCGCUACUAGAGCGGCUGAUGGCAGAUUAGUUAGUUGGUGGGAUAAAAGCUUACCAAGCCGACGAUCUGUAGCUGGUCUGAGAGGACGACCAGCCACACUGGGACUGAGACACGGCCCAGACUCCUACGGGAGGCAGCAGUGGGGAAUUUUGGACAAUGGGCGCAAGCCUGAUCCAGCAAUGCCGCGUGCAGGAUGAAGGCCUUCGGGUUGUAAACUGCUUUUGUAAGGAACGAAAAGCCCUCUUCUAAUACAGGAGGGUCAUGACGGUACCGUAAGAAUAAGCACCGGCUAACUACGUG